This 87-nucleotide transfer RNA is filed under the name Candidatus Wildermuthbacteria bacterium. Its description in RNAcentral is "tRNA-Ser". It matches the Rfam family "tRNA". From Rfam's summary of the family: Transfer RNA (tRNA) molecules are approximately 80 nucleotides in length. Their secondary structure includes four short double-helical elements and three loops (D, anti-codon, and T loops). Further hydrogen bonds mediate the characteristic L-shaped molecular structure. tRNAs have two regions of fundamental functional importance: the anti-codon, which is responsible for specific mRNA codon recognition, and the 3' end, to which the tRNAs corresponding amino acid is attached (by aminoacyl-tRNA synthetases). tRNAs cope with the degeneracy of the genetic code in two manners: having more than one tRNA (with a specific anti-codon) for a particular amino acid; and 'wobble' base-pairing, i.e. permitting non-standard base-pairing at the 3rd anti-codon position. Lineage: Bacteria; Candidatus Wildermuthiibacteriota. The record is from RNAcentral.
GGAGAGGUGCGAGAGUGGUUGAAUCGGCCGCACUCGAAAUGCGGUAAGGGCGCAAGCUCUUCGUGGGUUCAAAUCCCACCCUCACCG